RNAcentral lists this ribosomal RNA (472 nucleotides) under uncultured bacterium. RNAcentral's name for it is "partial 16S ribosomal RNA". It matches the Rfam family "Bacterial small subunit ribosomal RNA", at positions 28 to 507 of the family's 1533-position model. The record is from RNAcentral.
GACGAACGCUGGCGGCGUGCUUAACACAUGCAAGUCGAACGAUGAACCCGGAGCUUGCUCUGGGGGAUUAGUGGCGAACGGGUGAGUAACACGUGAGUAACCUGCCCUGGACUCUGGGAUAAGCGUUGGAAACGACGUCUAAUACCGGAUAGGACCUUGGAUCGCAUGAUCUGGGGUGGAAAGUUUUUUCGGUCUGGGAUGGACUCGCGGCCUAUCAGCUUGUUGGUGAGGUAAUGGCUCACCAAGGCGUCGACGGGUAGCCGGCCUGAGAGGGUGACCGGCCACGCUGGGACUGAGACACGGCGCAGGCUGCUACGGGAGGCAGCAGUGGGGAAUAUGGCACAAUGGGCGAAAGCCUGAUGCAGCAACGCCGCGUGCGGGAGGACGGCCGUCGGGUUGUAGACCGCUUUUAGUAGGGAAGAAGGGCUUCGGCUUGACGGUACCUGCAGAAAAAGGACCGGCUAACUACGUG